GUAACAAGGUUUCCGUAGGUGAACCUGCGGAAGGAUCAUUACCGAGUGAGGGCCCUCUGGGUCCAACCUCCCACCCGUGUUUAUCGUACCUUGUUGCUUCGGCGAGCCCGCCUCACGGCCGCCGGGGGGCAUCCGCCCCCGGGCCCGCGCUCGCCGAAGACACCAUUGAACUCUGUCUGAAGAUUGCAGUCUGAGUGAUUAACUAAAUCAGUUAAAACUUUCAACAACGGAUCUCUUGGUUCCGGCAUCGAUGAAGAACGCAGCGAAAUGCGAUAAGUAAUGUGAAUUGCAGAAUUCAGUGAAUCAUCGAGUCUUUGAACGCACAUUGCGCCCCCUGGUAUUCCGGGGGGCAUGCCUGUCCGAGCGUCAUUGCUGCCCUCAAGCACGGCUUGUGUGUUGGGCCCCGCCCCCCGGUUUCGGGGGGCGGACCCGAAAGGCAGCGGCGGCACCGCGUCCGGUCCUCGAGCGUAUGGGGCUUCGUCACCCGCUCUGUAGGCCCGGCCGGCGCCCGCCGGCGACCCCAAUCAAUCUAUCCAGGUUGACCUCGGAUCAGGUAGGGAUACCCGCUGAACUUAAGCAUAUCA
This 584-nucleotide unclassified non-coding RNA is filed under the name Penicillium rolfsii. Its description in RNAcentral is "sequence contains 18S rRNA gene, ITS1, 5.8S rRNA gene, ITS2, 28S rRNA gene". The stretch from base 216 to 369 matches the Rfam family "5.8S ribosomal RNA". The record is from RNAcentral. Lineage: Eukaryota; Fungi; Ascomycota; Eurotiomycetes; Eurotiales; Aspergillaceae.